AUUGAACGCUGGCGGCAUGCUUUACACAUGCAAGUCGAACGGCAGCGCGGGGGCAACCCUGGCGGCGAGUGGCGAACGGGUGAAGUAAUGUAUCGGAACGUAUCCUGUAAUGGGGGAUAACCAGUCGAAAGAUUGGGUAAUACCGCAUACGCACGAGAGUGGAAAGUAGGGGAUCGCAAGACCUUACGUUAUAGGAGCGGCCGAUAUCUGAUUAGCUAGUUGGUGGGGUAAAGGCCUACCAAGGCGACGAUGCGUAGCCGACCUGAGAGGGUGAUCGGCCACAUUGGGACUGAGACACGGCCCAGACUCCUACGGGAGGCAGCAGGUGGGGAAUAUUGCACAAUGGGGAAACCCUGAUGCAGCGACGCCGCGUGAAGGAUGAAGGUCUUCGGAUUGUAAACUUCUAUCAGCAGGGAAGAAAGGGCCUAUGGCCUAUGACGGUACCUGACUAAGAAGCCCCGGCUAACUACGUG
Molecule: ribosomal RNA, 473 nt
Filed under: uncultured bacterium
Lineage: Bacteria
Description: bacterial SSU rRNA
Rfam family: Bacterial small subunit ribosomal RNA
Source: RNAcentral